RNAcentral lists this ribosomal RNA (400 nucleotides) under uncultured bacterium. RNAcentral describes it as "bacterial SSU rRNA". It matches the Rfam family "Bacterial small subunit ribosomal RNA", at positions 355 to 752 of the family's 1533-position model. The record is from RNAcentral.
UAAGGAAUAUUGGUCAAUGCUCGCAAGAGUGAACCAGCCAUUCCGCGUGGAGGAUGAAGGCCCUAUGGGUUGUAAACUUCUUUUAGAUGGGAAUAAAAUAAUUGAUUUAUCAGUUACUGAAGGUACCAUCGGAAUAAGCACCGGCUAACUCCGUGCCAGCAGCCGCGGUAAUACGGAGGGUGCGAGCGUUAUCCGGAAUUACUGGGUUUAAAGGGUGCGUAGGCGGGAUAUUAAGUCUAAGGUGAAAGUUUGUAGCUUAACUAUAAAAAUGCCUUAGAUACUGAUAUUCUUGAAUUAAAUUGAGGAUAGCGGAAUGUGACAUGUAGCGGUGAAAUGCAUAGAUAUGUCAUAGAACACCAAUUGCGAAGGCAGCUAUCUGGGUUUAAAUUGACGCUGAGGC